Molecule: ribosomal RNA, 678 nt
Filed under: uncultured archaeon
Lineage: Archaea
Description: bacterial SSU rRNA
Rfam family: Archaeal small subunit ribosomal RNA
Source: RNAcentral
UAAUCGCGCAUACCGCUCUCAGGCUGGAACUGCCGAGAGCGCGAAAUGCUCCGGCGCCAGAGGAUGUGGCUGCGGCCGAUUAGGUAGACGGUGGGGUAACGGCCCACCGUGCCAGUAAUCGGUACGGGUUGUGAGAGCAAGAGCCCGGAGACGGUAUCUGAGACAAGAUACCGGGCCCUACGGGGCGCAGCAGGCGCGAAACCUUUACACUGCACGCCAGUGCGAUAAGGGGACUCCAAGUGCGAGGGCAUAGAGCCCUCGCUUUUCUGUACCGUAAGGUGGUACAAGAAUAAGUGCUGGGCAAGACCGGUGCCAGCCGCCGCGGUAAUACCGGCAGCACGAGUGAUGGCCGCUCUUAUUGGGCCUAAAGCGUCCGUAGCUGGCCGCGCAAGUCCAUCGGGAAAUCCGCACGCCUAACGUGCGGGCGUCCGGUGGAAACUGCGUGGCUUGGGACCGGAAGAUCCAGAGGGUACGUCCGGGGUAGGAGUGAAAUCCUGUAAUCCUGGACGGACCACCGGUGGCGAAAGCGCUCUGGAAAGACGGAUCCGACGGUGAGGGACGAAAGCUCGGGUCACGAACCGGAUUAGAUACCCGGGUAGUCCGAGCUGUAAACGAUGUCUGCUAGGUGUGCCACAGGCUACGAGCCUGUGGUGUGCCGUAGGGAAGCCGUGAAGCAGA